This is a non-coding RNA of Cicer arietinum (chickpea), 2659 nucleotides long. The record is from RefSeq and is a predicted model, not a curated record. NCBI's taxonomy places the organism in Eukaryota, Viridiplantae, Streptophyta, Magnoliopsida, Fabales, Fabaceae.
ACUUGGGUGGUUUGCCAAGGCACUCCCAACUCCUAUUGAUUUAGACAUCAAAGUGCUCACAAGUAUUUCCUUUAAAAGCAGAACAGUCCACCAAAAACUAUAUCCUUUCAAUAUACUGUAGUUGCAAAUUGCAAUGAAUAUUAAACUCUAACCACCUUUCAAAAUGUAAACUCUAAUCACUAUUAAUCAGAUUUUCUCUCUCAACCACUUUUUAAAUACGAUGAUUAUGGCUGAUCUUCUUCGUCACUAGAGGUUUUGGUGCCGAAAGUGUGUUUUGCAACUUCAAGGUAGCCACUUUAACUUUAACAACUCAUAAUUUUGCUUUUGAUACUUUAUUUUAUUUUAAUAAAAAAUUUCUUACCAAGAUUUGAAUCUAGAGCAUGAACUUAGUAUAAAAAAUAAAAUUACCAAGCUGUGUCACUAACAAGAGUAACUUUACAUUUUAUUUUAUUUUAUAAACAGGAAAAUAUAAUUAUUCGUAAUAUAAUGUUGAAUUUAAUAAUAUCAAUAUUUUUAGUUAAACUAAAAUUUAAUUACAUAAUGUAACUUUACUUUUAUCCAUUACUAUAUUGGGUGAAAUAUAUAAUAAAUUUGUUAAAUAUAUCAAAACUAAUCAAACUCCGCCACUAAUUAGAGUAACUUUACUUUUAUCCUUUAUUUUUUGUUCUAUGAAGUCAACACUUUCAUUCAACAUUAAACUGAUUAAAUAUCUUGUCUUAAUAAGAAGUAGGUUUGAUUUCAUUGUCAACAAUAGUCGUGUAACCGAUCUAUAAUUAGUAGUUACCAUUUCAAGCGAUUGUAGAACGUAUCACAUGUCUUUUCUUAUCAUUAUUGAGAUAAUAUUCCUUCUCUCUUAUUCUAUUUUUCAUUUAUAGAAAAAGUUAACAUAUUCGACUUAAAAGUAAGAUCAUUAGAGCCAUCAUUAUGACUAUAAAUAAAACUUUAAUAAAUAAAAAUAUUUAUAAAAAAAUUACUUAAUAAAUUAAAAAGUGUCAUAUUCUAAUAUUUUUAAAACUAAUAAAAUUUUAUUUAAAACUAAUAUUAUAUCAAAAAUAAUAUUAAAUUGUCUAAUUUUAUUAUCAAUUAAAAAGACAAUAGUAUACCAAAUUAAUUAUAUUAAUUUAAUAAAUAAUUUUAUAUUAUAAAGUGUCUAAAACACAUUUUUUAAUAAAAUAUUAAAUACUUUUACUAAACAUUAUUUAUAAACUAUAAUAAAGUUCUCAUAUCUCAAUUUCACUUUAAAUUUUUAUAUGAGUUGGACUAAUCCUAAUCCUUAUACCGCUAAUAAAGUUUUGGCUUGAAAUCAUUAGCCCAUAAGAUGUGAAGGGAUGGAUAUGUGGGUUGGUGAAUUCAAUUAUUUUGUUGUUGGGUGUAGCUACCAACAGUCUCAUACUUAAUUCACCACCAUAUAUAUAUCUUUUUAUUUUUUGUGAGGACAAAUUUUUAUUAAAUCUCUUGAAGGAGAAUUUUGCCGUAUGAUAUUACUCAAUGUUGACAACAACAAAAAACUUUUGUUUUUUGUGUAAUUAAAGCUUCAUCCAGCAUAUGGGGUACACAAUCACUCAGUUGCACCACAAAUAUCUUAUCUCUUCAUCUAUUCACACAAGGGCAUGAAAGCUUCGCCUACCCAAUAUCAACCAAAUUCUUAUUAUUUUGUUGAAUUUAACUCUAAGUUGAGAUAUAUUGGCAACAGAUUAAAAAUUUAUACAACAAUAAAUAUAUAAGACAAAAAGAUAUAUUUCAUGGUACAAAAUAUAAAUAAAUUCUAAUUAAUAAGCUUCCAUGACCGAAAUAUAAUGUUCAAUCUAUCAAUAUCGAGAUUUUUAUUAGUUGAACUAAGUGUCUAGCACCAAAUAUAUUUUGUUUAUCAUAUCAUUAAGUAAUUGUAUAAGCAUUAUAUUCUUUAAGGUGUGAUGAUGACCGAUCUCGAUCCCACUUAGAUAAAACUUGUUUACCCCAAAAAUAGAAAUUAAAAUUUUGAGCCACAUAUACACAAUUGUAAGUAUAAUAGAUAGAUACAUGUCAUACAACACAAUAAUCAAAAGAGUGGCCCAAUUAUGGUCACAAUGUCUACUUUCACAAUAACAAGUAAAAAGCAAUGUGAGACUGAGAUAUCACCACACUUUUCUCAAUCUGAAUUUCAACAUUAAGUGAAAUAUACGAAGGAAACAACAGAGUAUUCGUGACUAUGGAGGACAUUGAUGUAGUUCCAUUUAGGAGUAUAAGAGAUAUUCUAACUCGUAUUAUAAAACAUUAACAUUAACAUGAUGAUUAUUAAUUAGUAUACCGGAUUAAUAUAACAAUUUGAAUAAUGAUGUCAUGAUUUUCUACUAUCCCUAACUACUCCCAAUAUAAAUUAAAAUAGUGCUUUGACUGAUGAUGGUGCUCAUACUAAUAAAGAAAGAUGUUAAAUACUUAAAUAUGGUAUUGGAUUAAGGUCAUUUUAUCUCUUCUUGGAUUUAUAAAUAUGAGAACAAAAUAUGAUAUUGUCCAUAUUCUAUAUCCAUAUCGUGUACCUGACUCAGCUUGCAUGCUCAAACAUAAUAAUUGCUGUUUCUCAUUUGAAUUAUGUCAACCAUGAACUUGAAGCCUUGAAACAUGUAACCCCACUCCUCAUUGUAACUAUGUGUUAUUGGGAAGAAAAAAAAUUAUAUAUCCU